This 275-nucleotide long non-coding RNA is filed under the name Elaeis guineensis (African oil palm). RNAcentral's name for it is "long non-coding RNA (EGUI_LNC019183)". Lineage: Eukaryota; Viridiplantae; Streptophyta; Magnoliopsida; Arecales; Arecaceae. The record is from RNAcentral.
UAAGACAUGAGAAAGCGAUUUUUUCAUGAGCUAGAAAUUAUGGUAUUUUUCUAACCAAAAAUUUAUUGAGACAUCAUAAUAUUGUUAAUAACUAGUUUUAAUAGUUAAUCUUAACUAUUCAAAAUUAUCAUAAUAUAAAGAAAUUAUCUAACUAUUAAAAUUUGUUAGAAUUAUAAAAACUCAAUCCAAUAAGUAUUUUUAAUAUCUAUUUUAAAAUUUUUUUGAUGUUCAAUCAAACAAAUUAAGUUUAUUUUAAAAAGUGUUUCAUAUGCAAC